This 253-nucleotide ribosomal RNA is filed under the name uncultured bacterium. Its description in RNAcentral is "partial 16S ribosomal RNA". It matches the Rfam family "Bacterial small subunit ribosomal RNA", at positions 524 to 776 of the family's 1533-position model. The record is from RNAcentral.
UACGUAGGGGGCAAGCGUUGUUCGGAUUUACUGGGCGUAAAGAGCGCGCAGGCGGUCGAUUAAGUCGAGUGUGAAAGCCCCCGGCUCAACUGGGGAGGGUCAUUCGAUACUGAUCGACUUGAAGGCAGGAGAGGGUAGUGGAAUUCCGGGUGUAGUGGUGAAAUGCGUAGAUAUCGGGAGGAACACCAGUGGCGAAGGCGACUUCCUGGCCUGUUCUUGACGCUGAGGCGCGAAAGCUGGGGGAGCAAACGGG